Molecule: ribosomal RNA, 292 nt
Filed under: uncultured bacterium
Lineage: Bacteria
Description: partial 16S ribosomal RNA
Rfam family: Bacterial small subunit ribosomal RNA
Source: RNAcentral
GUGCCAGCAGCCGCGGUAAGACAGAGGGUGCAAACGUUGUUCGGAAUUACUGGGCGUAAAGCGCGUGUAGGCGGCUCGGCAAGUCGGGUGUGAAAGCCCUGGGCUCAACCCAGGAAGUGCACUCGAAACUGCCGGGCUUGAGUCCCGGAGAGGAAGGCGGAAUUCUCGGUGUAGAGGUGAAAUUCGUAGAUAUCGAGAGGAACACCGGUGGCGAAGGCGGCCUUCUGGACGGUGACUGACGCUGAGACGCGAAAGCGUGGGGAGCAAACAGGAUUAGAUACCCUAGUAGUCC